RNAcentral lists this ribosomal RNA (492 nucleotides) under uncultured bacterium. Its description in RNAcentral is "partial 16S ribosomal RNA". It matches the Rfam family "Bacterial small subunit ribosomal RNA", at positions 29 to 507 of the family's 1533-position model. The record is from RNAcentral.
AGUGAACGCUGGCGGUAGGCCUAACACAUGCAAGUCGAACGGCAGCACAGUAAGAGCUUGCUCUUACGGGUGGCGAGUGGCGGACGGGUGAGGCAUACAUCGGAAUCUACUUUUUCGUGGGGGAUAACGUAGGGAAACUUACGCUAAUACCGCAUACGACCUACGGGUGAAAGCAGGGGAUCUUCGGACCUUGCGCGAUUGAAUGAGCCGAUGUCGGAUUAGCUAGUUGGCAGGGUAAAGGCCCACCAAGGCGACGAUCCGUAGCUGGUCUGAGAGGAUGAUCAGCCACACUGGAACUGAGACACGGUCCAGACUCCUACGGGAGGCAGCAGUGGGGAAUAUUGGACAAUGGGCGCAAGCCUGAUCCAGCCAUACCGCGUGGGUGAAGAAGGCCUUCGGGUUGUAAAGCCCUUUUGUUGGGAAAGAAAAGCAGCAGGUUAAUACCCCGCUGUUCUGACGGUACCCAAAGAAUAAGCACCGGCUAACUUCGUG